UGGGGAAUAUUGGACAAUGGGGGCAACCCUGAUCCAGCCAUGCCGCGUGAGUGAUGAAGGCCUUCGGGUUGUAAAGCUCUUUUGGCGGGGACGAUGAUGACGGUACCCGCAGAAUAAGCCCCGGCUAACUUCGUGCCAGCAGCCGCGGUAAGACGAAGGGGGCUAGCGUUGUUCGGAAUUACUGGGCGUAAAGCGAGUGUAGGCGGUUGCCGUAGUCAGGUGUGAAAGCCUUGAGCUCAACUCAAGAAAUGCACUUGAUACUGGGUGACUAGAGGACCGGAGAGGAUAGUGGAAUUCCCAGUGUAGUGGUGAAAUACGUAGAGAUUGGGAAGAACACCAGUGGCGAAGGCGGCUAUCUGGACGGUUACUGACGCUAAGACUCGAAAGCGUGGGGAGCAAACAGGAUUAGAUACCCUGGUAGUCCACGCCGUAAACGAUGGGUGCUAGACGUUGGCGAGCUUGCUCGUCAGUGUCGCAGCUAACGCGUUAAGCACCCCGCCUGGGGAGUACGGCCGCAAGGGUUGAAACUCAAAUGAACUGACGGGGGUCAUAGCUGUUUU
Molecule: ribosomal RNA, 560 nt
Filed under: uncultured bacterium
Lineage: Bacteria
Description: partial 16S ribosomal RNA
Rfam family: Bacterial small subunit ribosomal RNA
Source: RNAcentral